This is a long non-coding RNA of Macaca mulatta (Rhesus monkey), 1841 nucleotides long. The record is from Ensembl. NCBI's taxonomy places the organism in Eukaryota, Metazoa, Chordata, Mammalia, Primates, Cercopithecidae.
GACGGAGAGUGACGAAGGUAGACGAUGCCUGAGGGAGAGUGACGGGGAGCGACGGAGAGCGACGAGGGUAGACGAUGCCUGACGGAGAGUGACGGAGAAUGAACGGAGAGCGACGGGGAGCGAAGGGGAGCGACGCGGAGUGCCUGAGAGUGACGGAGAGUGACGGGGAGCGACGGAGAGUGACGGAGAAUGAACGGAGAGCGACGGGGAGCUACGAGGAGUGAAGGGGAGCGACGGGGAGCGAGGGAGAGUGACGGGGAGUGACGAAGGUAGACGAUGCCUGACAGAGUGACGAAAGUGACGGGGAGCGACGGAGAGUGAAGGAGGUAGACGAUGCCUGAUGAAGAGUGACGCAGAGUGACGGAGAAUGAACGGGGAGCGAGGGAGUGACGGGGAGUGACGAAGGUAGACGAUGCCUGACAGAGAGUGACGGAGAAUGAACGGGGAGCGACGGAGAGUGACGAAGUUAGACGAAGUUAGACGAUGCCUCACGAAGAGUGACGGAGAGUGACGGAGAAUGAACGGGGAGCGACGGGGAGCGACGGAGAGUGACGGAGGUAGACGAUGCCUGAUGAAGAGUGACGCAGAGUGACGGAGAAUGAACGGGGAGCGAAGGGGAGCGACGGAGAGUGACGGGGAGUGACGAAGGUAGACGAUGCCUGACGGAGAGUGACGGAGAUGACGGGGGGCGACGGGGAACGACGGAGAGUGACUAAGGUAGACGAUGCCUGACGGAGAGUGACGCAGAAUGAACGGGGAGCGACGAAGGUAGACGAUGCCUGACGGAGAGUGACGGAGAGUGACGGAGAAUGAACGGAGAGCGACGGGGACCGAAGGGGAGCGACGGGGAGCGACGGAGAGUGACGAAGGUAGACGAUGCCUGACGGAGAAGUGACGGAGAAUGAACGGGGAGCGACGGAAAGCGACGGAGAGUGACGGGGAGUGACGAAGGUAGACGAUGCCUGACGGAGAGUGACGCAGAGUGACGGAGAAUGAACGGGGAGCGACGGGGAGCGACGGAAAGUGGCGAGAAUGGACGGACAGGGACCGGGACUGACGGAUACUGACGAAGAGUCACGGAAAUGAUCCGAGGGCGACAAAGAGGAAGGCGAACUGGCGAGCUGAAGCAGGCCGAGCCUAAUCGGAGAUGACGGAAAGUGACGAAGAGGAACGAGGAGUAAAGAGGGGUGACGAAAAGAGCCGAAGCGGUUGAAGGCGAAGAGCUGAGUGAGGGAAGACCGCAGAGGGGUCUUCUAUUCAUGCCAUCCAUGAGAGACCCCCGUACUCUUCUGACGCAUUCCCAUGUUGCUGAAGACUCAGUGUCGUCUUUGUUACUGUGACGUUGCGUGUUCGCGGUGUGCUGCAGUAUUCUGUUUUUCCAGCGUAUCCAAGGAGACGUGUAGUGCCUAAGAGUGUGAGUGCUACAAAAAGGGUGGUUUGUUCCAACCCAAGCUUGACCAUGACUGGUUCUCUCAUAUGGGUCAAGUUCCCUAAACUUCUCUGUGCCUCAGUUUCCUUGGCAGAAGAACAGGGACCGCCGGGCGCGGUGGCUCAAGCCUGUAAUCCCAGCACUUUGGGAGGCCGAGACGGGCGGAUCACGAGGUCAGGAGAUCGAGACCAUCCUGGCUAACACAGUGAAACCCCGUCUCUACUAAAAAAUACAAAAAACUAGCCGGGCGAGGUGGCGGCGCCUGUAGUCCCAGCUGCUCGGGAGGCUGAGGCAGGAGAAUGGCGUAAACCGGGAGACGGAGCUUGCAGUGAGCUGAGAUCCGGCCGCUGCACUCCAGCCUGGGCGACAGAGUAAGACUCCGUCUCAAAAAAAAAAAAAAAAAAAAAAAAAA